Molecule: long non-coding RNA, 848 nt
Organism: Rana temporaria (common frog)
Lineage: Eukaryota; Metazoa; Chordata; Amphibia; Anura; Ranidae
Exons: 2
Source: RefSeq, a predicted model, not a curated record
AUGGCACACACUCACUUUUUCUUUUAUCCCCUUUUUUGCCCCUUUCACACAUUUCUAUUGACAUAUACACUCACAUCUAUUUGUUCACCACACUCUCACACAUUUUUCUUAACCCCUUUCCCCCCCCUCAUUCACAUCACACUGACACCAGUAUGAUGUUCAUUGUACCAGUACAAAACCUUUGGUUUUGGUAUACUUCCAUCUACACCUUUGCAAUACUAGCAUUGGUGUAUUAAGAUUUACUAAUAUAUUCCAUUUCAAUACUUACCUCCUACAUACGCCCAUGUUUAUGAUCCUAUUAGAUCAUUACAUGUGAUCGGGGUCAUAGCCGAAUGGAUGUUAUCUAUGCUUAUGCAAUAUUAUUAGUACUCACAUUAUUACUUAUAUUAAAUUAAACUAAAUAUUCAAUCAAUACAGGUGUCUUCCGGUCGUCUCCUCCCCCCUAUGGUCCACACUUGUGACUCCUUGUAAGCCCGGUUUGGUGGGUUCCCGUCAAGCGGAACGGGGGUUUCUCUUGCUAUGGGGGUCUUCGGAUCAUUUUUACUUUUCAGCAACCAUCUCUGAUUACAUAUUAAUUCAUUAACCCUUGAGUGAGUACAAUUCCCCUGAAGAAGACCGUGACAGUUUAGGUCGAAACGCGUCGGGGUACUCAUAUGGAAACAAUUGAAUCAUGAUGUAACGUGUAUUGUAUUGUUGUUGAUUUUUGCCACUGUUAUUUUUAUUUUCAUGUAUAAUCAGAGUGUACUAUAUGUAUAUUAUCUACAUUAUUUUACAAAUGCUCCAACCAUGUUGUACAUUUUAUUGUAAUUCAAUGUUGAAACCAAGUAAAGAUUUUAACUUCAAUAUCA